RNAcentral lists this ribosomal RNA (265 nucleotides) under uncultured bacterium. RNAcentral's name for it is "partial 16S ribosomal RNA". It matches the Rfam family "Bacterial small subunit ribosomal RNA", at positions 793 to 1055 of the family's 1533-position model. The record is from RNAcentral.
GUCCACGCCAUAAACGAUGAAUACUAGGUGUUGGAGGAUUUAAACCCUUCGGUACCGCAGCUAACGCGUUAAGUAUUCCGCCUGGGGAGUACGACCGCAAGGUUAAAACUCAAAGGAAUUGACGGGGGCCCGCACAAGCAGCGGAGCGUGUGGUUUAAUUCGAUGCAACGCGAAAAACCUUACCUGGAUUUUGACGUGUCCGUAGUAGUGAAGCGAAAGCGGAACGACCCUUCGGGGACGGAUGCAGGUGCUGCAUGGCUGUCGU